GUAAAUAGACUGUAUAGGGGCAAGAAUAGAAGUGUGAACCUCAGAGUGAUGAGCUGUUAGCAAUGAUCCAGGUGAGAGGCAAAGUGGCUUAGACCAGGGUGAUAGCAGUGGAAGGGAUGAGACAAGGAUGGGUCCUGGACUUGUUUAUUGGUGACAGGACCAUUGGUUACCUGGGUGUGAGGUGUAAGAGAAAGAAAAGGAGUCAAGCAUGACUAGAAGAUAUUUAUGCUUGGUGAUUUCAGUAUUCAUAUAGAUGACCCAUCCAACUCCCUCCCAUCUCAAUUCCUUUAGGCUUGAUGUGUGUGUGUGUGUGGUGGGGUGGGAGGUCACAUACUCAAGCUGAGUCACAUUGAGUUUGAGGUUAGAUCAUUCAAGUGAAUAUGGUGAGUAGGCAGUUGAAAUAUGAGUCUAGACUUCAAAAUAGAUGUCAGGGCUGGCAAGUUACAGCCACAAAACUGGAUGAAAUCACCCAGGGAGUGAGUAUUGAUAGAAAAGAGAAGAUACCCAAGGCCUGAGGCCUGGAUCAUUCCAAUGUUUAACAAUCUGGAAGAAGGAGGAGGAAUAAGCAAAAGAGAUGAACAGAAACUAGUGAGAUAAGAGGAAAACAGUAGAGAGUCAUGGAAGCCAAACGAGGAAUCUGUUUCAGCAGAGCCACUGUAAGGCCAUGCUACUCCUUUGUGAAAACAUAACAAAGCAAACAAAAGCCCUCUCUUCCUUAAGUAAAAAUAAAUUAAAUUACUAUUGUAUUUACUUUCCAGUAAGAAGAAAUACAAAAACCAUAAAGUCAUUCUGUGUAGAUUAUACAAAUCAAAUAUUGAGCACAAAAGUAUAGACAAUUUGCAAAUUUGGUCACAGCAAUUAAGAACUCAAAGCCACCAGAGUAUAAUAAUUUAUUAUAAAAGAGUUUCAUAUCUUACUUUUUUUCAGAACAGACAUCUUUGUGGCAGUUUCAGUGCUUGCUUAUUGUAUUUCUAUAGGAUGGUGAUUGUGCUGGAGCCCAGCCCAGGAAGAUGGCACCUUCAGCAAUGCUGUAUCCCCUCUUGUGGCUGCUGGUCCCGCUGAGGUUCCCAAGAGGCUCUUAGCAGUGUCAAAAUCCUACCUGAAGGAGCCACAGAAUGUCAAGUUCAUAUAACUAUCAUUUUGACUUUGAGGUGGGAAUGUAUCGGGAGAGUAGAACCCUGGGUCUCUGAUAACUAUGAAGCCACAUGCUAGGCUUGGACCACCAAACUCUGGCUGUGUUAUGCAUGAGAGUGAGAUAAAACAUCUUAUUCUUUAAAAUAAAGAACUUCUGUUCCUUAAAUGCACCAUAAAAUGAAAAAUGAGAGAGUAAGACUAUAUUUGCAAACAUGUAUCUGACAUAAGUUGAGAAUCCAUAAUGUAUAACAUUUAGCAAUUGGUAACAAAAAGAUGACUCAAUAAAAAAUGGGCAUAGAAAUGAGCAAGUGUUUUACAGAAGAGAAAUAUAUAUGGCAAAUAAACAUAUUAAAAUGCCCAACCUUAAUAUUGUAGUAAUAAUAGAAAUAGAAAUUUUAUAUCCACAAUAUAACAACAAUUUAAAAGUCUGAAAUACCAAGUAUUAGCUAUGAUAUGGUACAAUGGGAAAUUAUACCUUGCUUGUGGCAAUGUAAAUUCGUACAAUUUUUUUUCUUUUGUUGUUGGUGGCAUUGGUGUGAUAGCUAAGAAUUCAUUGUCUCAUCAUUUUGGAAAACAAUGAUUUGGAAAUCUGAAGUUAUGGAAAGAUGGUAGGAGUAACUGAGCAAGUAAGUUGGAAAUAUAGGUUGUCUAAUAAAUAUGAGGCUUGAAUUCAUGAUUCAAGAGGCAGAAAAUUUUGUGUGAUGACAAAGUACAAGGUGAAACCUUGCACAUGGUUUGCUAAAGUGGAAUUGUUCUUUGAAGAUAACAAGGUAUAUUAAUUUAGGUUCCAUCAGGAUAGAGAAACCCCACAGUAAUUUGAACAGAAAAAGUUUAACAUAAAAAAUUAAGGAUAAAAAAUAAAAAGGGCUAGCAAUGUGGCUCAGUGGUUGAGUGCCCCUGGGUUCAAUCCCCAGUACAACCACCACCAACAACAACAGAAAAAAAGAAGUAUAACAGGAUUGGAACAUUGAGGGACUGGCCUAGUAAAAAAAAAAGGAACUCUAAAAUAAUAUAGGAAUAGCAGAUGUAAUAUAGAAUAACAGACAAUAUAAAAAUAACAUGUAGGGGCUGGGGAUGGAGCUCAGUUGGUAGAGUGCUUGCCUCGUAUGCACAAGGCCCUGGGUUCAAUCCCCAGCAACACACACACACACACACACACACACAAAGACAAAUAACGUGUAAUAGCCAAUACUCGUAGAACUGUGAUAACCCUCCUCUCUGAUAUCUAGGCCAUAUAUUAGAGAAGUUGUUUGGUGCUGAGUCAGUGGAACUUGUUGGACAUCUGUCCUCUGGAACUAGCCAUAAAUAUGCUCCUCUAAGAUACUAGUUCGCAAGGAAGGUGUCUUAACAGAGACAAUUAGCUACAGAACUGCCCAAGGGCAGUGCCAAGGGAAGCAGUACAUUUGGUACAUUGUGUCCUGGGGAAGCUAGCGCUUCAGAAGGUGGGCAAAGUAAAAAUGUUUCAAAGUUCCAGGUCCAUUUUCACAGAGUAGACAUAAUGGUGCACCAAAAGGAAAGCUGGGAGCUCAGCAAGAGUAUGCGGAGGGAGCACACAGGAAACAGGAAGUAAAACCCCUCCUUACUGCAAUGUCUCUGCACCAUUGAUUACUGGUAAAACUUAAAACCAUACAAGCUGGCAAAUCAAAAUAUAUUUCAAAGUUCCAGGUCUAUUUUCACAGAACAGGCAUGAAGAUACACUGAAAGUUAACACAUUAAUUACUGGAAGAAGCAGUCAAAUAACUGAGUGCACAUGGUGUUGGAUUGUUGUUUUGGAGGAGUUGAAGUGAACUAGGUGUUGGCAGAAACUGGAGUACACUAGAAGGUCAGAAAUCAAUUUAUUUCUUCAAGUGUGACUGUGACGUUGGUCUAUCUACUGCAGAAUCAAGUGUGAUAUUAAUAAUACAUUUUCCUUUCCCCAUUGCACAUCUUCUGAGUUAGAAUAUAUUUGGGAAUUGGGCCCCCAAUCCUUCUUUUUAACAAGUGUGCCAUUAGAUUUGAAAUUUAAAAGUACAUCAAUUAUGACUAUUGCAAGUAGAUAAAAGUAAAGGAAAAAAGUAUAACAGGUCCCAGUGUACCAACUAUCCAGUUUUAACAAACCUUCACACUUGCCUUAUUUUCUGCAGAUAUUUUUAUUUUACAUAAAAACCUAUUUUAGUUCAAGUUCCACUUACUCAUUCCUUUCUCAUUUAUCACUCUUAGGAGGUGAUUAUUCUGAACUUCCCUGUUUGUCAAUCGCUGCUUUAGGCUAUGGAGAGCUUUUGAGGGUUUUGAGUAGGGAUGUUAACGCUAGAGGUGCUUUUGGAAAAUUGGUAAAAAUGUGCUCAGCUGGAGAACUCAUAAAAUGAGAAGGGGAGGUGGACAAGUACUCCAGAGGCAGGUUCAGUGUCCCAGAGGGUGUGGUCCUAGACUUUUGCCCUUUUUACUCAUGCUUAUGGAUGAAGUCUGCUCUUUGUGUUCCUGUGACCUCCAGUAUUCCCCUGCCAACCUUAUUCCCCUAGUUCAUCAGUUGCUUUAGCAAGCCAGCUCAAGUUCCACGAUUAGUCAUUUCACCAAGAUGCUUGCCACUGCCCUGAAAUUCCCUGCUUUUUUGACAUUAUACCAUACCAACUUUGACUCCAAUCUUUAUGUUAAUAGAGCUGUUUCUUUUGUCUUGAGGUGGUGACCUUGCUUUUCUGGUUCUACUUUAUUCCUUAUAUUAAUUUGCUAUAGCCAGCAUCCAAAAUGAGGCAGAUUUUCAUCCAGGUGACCUCAAUAAACUCAAGCCUAUUUUGGACUAGGCCAGGUUCCUGAAGUUACUCUUGCUUUGUUCUUCAUUAGAAAAUGAAAGUGAUACCUUAAUAAUACUGCCAAAUUUUGUUGUCUGUAGAGUAAAAUUUUGAUGAGCAAUUGUGAAAAUUGUCCAAAUGACAUAUAAAAGUGUUUAUAGAGGUCAGACCAGGGAAUUUAAUUUCUUAACAAAUGAAUUCUGUUUUUAUUUCCAUUACAUAGAUUUGGCCAUGGGUCAAAGGCAAUAAAACAUCUGACUAUAUUUAUUUUGCUUAUAUCAGCCAAAACAUAUGGGGGUCAAAUCCCUAUUAUAUGGAUAGACUAUGGAUAGACACAACAUGUAUGAAUCUCUAAAUGAUGAUGUUGAAUUAAGAAACCCUAUGAAGUAGAACCAACCUAGAUGCCCUUCAAUAGAUGAAUGGAUAAAAAAAAAGUAUGGCAUAUAUACACAAUGGAAUAUUACUCAGCAAUAAAAGAGAAUAAAAUCAUGGCAUUUGCAGGUAAAUUGGUGGAGCUAGAGAAGAUAAUGCUAAGUGAAUUUAGCCAAUCCCCCAAAACCAAAUGCUGAUUGUUUUGUUUGAUAUAAGGAGGCUGAUUCAUAGUGGGAUAGGGAGCGGGAGCAUUGGAGGAAUAGAUG
RNAcentral lists this long non-coding RNA (4537 nucleotides) under Marmota monax (woodchuck). The stretch from base 2210 to 2271 matches the Rfam family "tRNA", at positions 6 to 65 of the family's 71-position model. The record is from RNAcentral. Lineage: Eukaryota; Metazoa; Chordata; Mammalia; Rodentia; Sciuridae.